AGAUCCUGUCUCAAAAAAAGAAGGCUGUUGUGAAGUAUCCCAAGGGAUUCCUUAUUAACAGAGUUAUAUCCCUGUCACUUUUAGGGGGGGGGGUCUCAGUCCUGCUGGGCCUGUGGGACAGUGUGUGCGGAGGACACACGACCUACCUGGAUGCCGGUCACAGGUGUCUGUGGGAGCAUUUGCCUUCUCACCUGCAAGAAGGUCGGGAGCAGCAGUCAGGGGUCAGUUGUUCUGUGGGGACCCACCUCCCCACUCCCGGAGCCAGUGGGAACGAUGUCACAGCUCCAGGCCACAGCUGGACACACUGUCCGCACUGACGAGGAGCCAGUCUGGAGAAGCGCGUCAUGGGUGACAUGAGGAAAUUACUGCGGGAAAAGGAGCAAGACGUGGGACCCGCUGGUGGCCUGUUGGGGCCAUUCUGCUCAGUUCUGGCAGUGGAUGUUGUUGGUGACUCGGGAGUCUCUGUUCCUUGCCUUUUCUGGCAACUUGCCCUCUCCAUCUCUGUCUUCCAGAUGCUUCUUAUCCUAUUGCUUUGCCCCUGUCUUUCCUACCACAUGGUUCUUCGAAGGUAAGGCAGACUAGUGGUCAAGCACACUGGCUCCCAGGCAGAGUGCUGGGCUCAUGGUCCCACUCCCACUCUCACUCACUGCCUGCAUUGCACGGCUUGGGUGCACAGCUUGCUGUUUGCCAGUAUUCUCAUUGUAAGUGAGUGAAUACCUCACAGUGUCAUUAGCAAUUAUGUGAGUACGACCAAUGCUCUUGGAAUGAGCACUCAGAAGACGUGGUUAAUACCUACUCUGCCCGGCUUCUGGUCACGCCACCUUUGGCCAACAAUGCCCCAGCACCCACCAAAUUCAAGAGAGUUCCUCCCCUGGGCACGGUGUCCCCAGCCCACCCUUUUCAUUGAGGUUUGGUUCUCACUCUGCAACUGCAGGUCUUAGCUGGGUGACCAUGGGCAAGUCACUUCACUUCUCUGGGCCUUGCUUCUUAGCUGUUCAGCUGACAUAGAACCAGGUUACUUGCAGGGUGUCUUGUGUGCUGACAUGCUGGGGUCUCUCAUGUCCAGUGUGGGUCAGCCUUUCCUUCUCUUCUUCAGCUUCUUCCAGCCCGGCAUGGCAACCUGGACAUCACCCAUGUACUUGUUCAUGGACAUGCACUGUAUGCGUGUUUGCUUCUCUGGAUAUCUUGGAACCAGAUAUCCCCACUUCACGAAAGCAGGGAUCAAGGCUUUCAUAUUUGACAUUAUUUCUGGCUCCUAGCACUGUGCCAGAACUAGCAUGUGAGCUCUCAAUAUGUAGCUGUGCUUAAUCUCUCAUUAUUCAGUCAACAUGUACUCAGUACCUGUUGAGUUCCCAAGCAUGGUGCAGAACAUGCACAGGCUUUAGGAGGCUGGCAGAACCCUGAUGUCAGUGUGUCUAAAGCGUGGCUCUAAGCCAUGUACUUUGCAAAGCUUAAGCAGGGCCCUGUUGCAUAAUGCAGGUGAAGGUGCCUGGUGAUAGAAGGUUCAUUCUGUGUCGGCCGCUUGUCUCCUCCUUGUGUAACUGCCCAGCACCUUGCAGAGGAGAUCAAACCCUCAGUAAUAUCAGUGAGCUGGGCUCGGUUUGGUUUGCAUCUCCCAAGCCUAGCUUGUGGGAGUCACAACAGCAGCACUGCACUGUCGAGGGUGACCUUGGCUGUUUGCUUGUGUUGUGAGGCUACUGUGUGCUGAGCACGUUACAUAUGCAGUGUCUCAUCCACAGAUGCACUGGAGGACAAGCGUUUUUAUUCCUUGUGUUCAUUAAACAGAUGAGUAGACACUUUCAAGGAGCUAAGGGUAUGUGCCCAAGGCCACACGGCCAUAAGUGCAGCCUGGGGACUCACACCCUAGUGGAUCUGGCUACCUCCAGAAUGAGGAGUCAGGUGAGGGCGAGGGGGCAGGAGCUGGAGAGCUUGGGCAUUCUGCACCAGCUUGUCCCUGCAUUCCAGCAGAACAUAGGGACGAAAUGAAACGGAGCAAAAAUAGAGUCUGUCCUCGAGUGACAGCAGCCGCCUCCUCUGGGAGCAGCUCUCCUUAACUGAUCUUCCCAGGCGAGGCAAGCCCCAGCGCUCCAGGUAGCACAGAGAAGUAAUGUGCACACGGCCAGGGAAAUUGCUGCCUCUCGCUUCCUCAGGAGAACAUAAAGGAGACACCUUCUUUGUGAUAUCAGUUUCAAAGCAAUCUUACCUCACAAACCUGAAAGAAAGAGAGAUCGAAGCAAGCUAAGAUUCCGAGAGCUUUCAAGACUCGAUUGCUGCCGCACAGAGCUGCUCGCUCAUCUCCGGCAGCCAGGACUGCCAGGUUGCAGAGGUGUGACAGCCCACAUCUGCUGACUCUCGCUGGUACUACAAUUAACGUGGCUGCUCGCUCUUUCAAGAGACGGAAAGAAAGGGAAACGCACACCCGCGCACACGCACAGAGUCAGGGAGACCUAGAGGCAGACACAGGGUGACACAGCCAUGCACGCUGGGGGACGCACUCUGCGCCCCAUCACAAAUGGUGCUCCUCUCACAACUUGGUGCCAGGGACCGCCUUCCCUCGCUUUCUGUAUUCUGCAUCUUUGGCCUCAUUUACCAGCUGUGCCGACCUGGAUGCUUUAGGUCUUCCCAUAACCAAAGCGUCCUCUGCCCAUUCCGUAUUCAGGGGGGCCUGAUGUACAAAGAUGCUCUCCCAGUGUGGGGCAGGAAAUAGAGGUAACCUGUUCUUCAUUUUUCUUCCAAAUGUUCACUGCAGGGGGCUCAGCUGGUGGAAAUACUUGGUAGGGGAGGGUGGAGAAGGAAAUGACAAAUGUGGGCCUGACUGCCCUGGAGGCAGAGAGGAGAGGGACUCAGAAAGAGAGUGGGGCUGGGGGCCAUGUUUUCCUGAGGGGCAAUUUCGAGUCACUGGGCCAUAGCAUGCUUAUUUGCAAAGUCUUCCCCUCCCCGUCCUCCGGGGCAGGGUCAGCUGCGAGGCAGUGGGCCGUGAGGAUGCAGUGAAACAGGGAAACCCAGAAGCUACUGAUUCCCAAGGCUCAAGGGGGUGUUCCGAUGUCUCCAACAUUCCAGCAAAUAUACUUUCACAGGAGAGACCUGAAAAAUGUGAACUCCCAUUUGAUAGAAGUAAUGUACAUAAUGAAAAAUGCACAAAUCAUAUGCGUAUAGAUAGCUUGAUAAAACGUUUUCCGAUUGAAUGUGUGCGUGGAGCCAGCACCUGAUAAAUAGAGCAUUUCCAGCAUUUCGGAAGCCUCCUCCCAACCCCUUCCAGUUGCUGUCAUGGGAUAACUUUGUCCUGACUUCUAACCAGAUAGAUUAGUUUAACCUGUUUAUGUACUUAAUAUAAAUAUUAAUAAUAUCAUAACACACUCCCUGUGUCUGGCUUCUUUCAUCCAAGGUUAUGUUUGUGAGAUGUGUUCAUAUGUUGUGUGCAUGUGUUGACCAUUCCUGCUCAUUAGGUUGAGUGUGUAUUUGAAGAAUCCAUCCUACCCUUGAGGGGCAUUUGAGUAGUUAUAUUGUGCUGCUGUGACAUUCUUAGACAUGUCUCUUGGUGAGCAUAUUCACAUGUGCCUUGCAUUUAGCCUGAGGAGUGGAAUCAUAGGAUAUGUGUAUAUUCAGCAUUAGUGGAUUGUGCAAAAUGGUUUCCCAAAGUGGUCGUUUGUCCUUCUUCGGAAUGUCUGUCCACCAGCACAUGUGAGUUUUGGUUCCACAUUGAAGCUCAUCCUUGGCAUUGUCUUUUUCAGUUUAGCCAAUUCAUUAGAGAAAGAACAAAUGACUUAAAAGGAAUCUCAUAGCAAGCAGGCAGAAGAGAAGAAGAACAUGCCCCUCCCCCCCUGCAGAGAGAAGUGUUCUGAUCUGGGGACACUAGAAGUCCUGCAGGGUGCACCGUGCCCUGUACCGUGCAUUCUUGCAGGCGCGGGGCCUGGUGGGGCUUCCCUCUUCUGUGAGCAUCAGCACAGCCCUGCCAGUGGUCAGGGAUCACACCUGGCUGCAGUAAUACCCAACAGACCAUGUAAUAAUUCUUCCUCAGGUGACAGAACUUUAAUGGACCUGACCCCAACAAAACAAACUUCGCUUCAGACUUGCCUGUGGGCCUCGGUAAAUAGUUAACAGACUGUAUCCCCCAUUCUCUCCCCUGCCAUUAGCCGAGGCUGGUACCGUAACUCACAGCUCCCCUUCCUGCCGUGAGCAGCACCUCUCACGGCCUGCUUCCCUGCAUGGCAGCUCUUGGUCAUGGCUUGUAGGAGCUGAGGAUGGAAAAGAAGGGAGUGUAGGCAGUACUGGGGUGACUGCCCUUGACAAAUGAAGGGACGAUUGUUCAUUUAACGUGAGAAUGAUAGAUCCAUUGAGCUCUUGAUAUGUGCCCAGCAAUGUGCCAAAUGCUUUCUGUUGAUCAUUUCAUGUCAUCCUGUCUUAGUCCAUUUGGGCUGUCUUAGUCCAAAAUGUCUUAGCUUGGUUGUUUAUAAACAACGUAAAUUUAUUUCUCAUGUUUCCAGAAGCUGGAAAGUCCAAGAUCAAGGCUCAAGCAGAUUUGAUGUCUGGUGAAGGCCUGUUUCCUGGCUCACUGAUGGCACCUUCUUGCUGCGUCCUCAUGUACCGGAAGGGGCAAACAAGGCUUGAUCUCUUGACCAGAGGAGAGUAAAAUGAUGCCUCUUGCGAUGGCCAUGCCUGUCAGUUACAUGGAGCUUCAUUCAAGGAUUUUCCGAGCCUGCUGGAUUUACAGUGAUAUUUGGCCGUCUGGGGGAUUAACGCUGGUGGAAGCAUGCACUGGAAUUACACAUGCCCAGCACACUUCAGGAUGCUGACAGUGGUUUUGCGGAAGGCCCUGGCUGAGUGCCUCGUGGAUUCUUACAGCCUGAUGCUCGUGGGGGACAGAGGUCCGCAGCCACCUGCGAGGGCUGAAGGUCUCUGACUAGGUCUCUGCCAGCUCCCUUUGGGGCAUCCUACGAAUCCCAGAUAGAGGGGACAAAGGCUGCCUAAUACAACGUGUCUUCUUCCCAGUGGAAUUCCAACUGCAGAAGGUACACACAUAAAGGCAAAGCAUGACCAAAGCAGGAUGACUGCAGGACUUUGGAGAAAAUACCCAUGAAAUUUCAAAUAGUGUGAUCUGAAUAACUCUUAUUACUAGCACGUAGACUAUAAACAUAUGCAAGAAGAAAACAAAAAAAAAGAAACAUUUGCUUUUGUCAUUCCUUGGCAAGAACCCUAGAAAAAACUUGCCUUUGGGGUCAAGCUGACCCUCCUGCUCUUAGUUUCCUUGUCAGCCUCAGAAUGUCCUUUGAGAAUCAUUCUUGGAGGUGAGAGAGGACUGACCAUACUUUACCUAGAGCAGGCAGUUUUGGAUGAAAUCAUGCCCAGCUGUGGCUGUGACCCGCUGUGACUUAUACUCAAAUCCUGUUACACCUGGGAUUUAGGUCCUUUUAAUCUGAAAAAAAAAAUACAUACUCCUUCAGCAUUCCAGAAGGAUUUGAGAACAAUCCUUCCCUGAACUAAAGCUGGAAUACUGUGGGAUUGGAGAAUUAAGAUUGUCUUUGGUUUUGGUGCUGUUACAAAGGAGAGAGCAUCAAUUCUUCUACAUGCUCCUCACACUGCAGGUUCUGGGAGGGAGACAAAGACAAGUCAUAGCAUCUACCACCCUCAAGACACUCACAAUCGAAUAAGCUACCCAGGUGACAUGGCGUGCUUACCUGGCUAGAAAGUGAAGACUUUUCACAUCGGAGCUCCAUGCUGUGGGAGUUUGAAGUGCAGAGGGUCUAAUGUUCCACUCCAGGUCACAUCCCAAUUCUGAAAGCUCAGCUCUGAUCAUGUCCCUGGACAGCUCAGAAGCAGCCAGCAGCUCCCUGUCACCUGCAGGCUUGAAGUCAGACCUCUCAGCAAGGCAUUUACGUCCCACCUGAGCAUCGCUCCAGCUUGUGAAUCCAGCCCGAUCCAUCACCUUUAAAUGUCUCAAGUGGGAAAUAGGUCCUGGAGACUAUGAUGCUCUGGACUCCGGAGAUAGCCCCAGCAGUAGCACCGACGCAGGGAGAAUUGAAUACUUUCUCCGAGAGGAUAGAAGACACAUGAAACUGGAAAAAGGAGCCCUGGAAAUUGCCACAUUUCCCCCAUAUGGGAGAGCACAUCCCCCUCCCCCUCUUGUCCCCUUUCUCCCUUACUGCGUAAUAAAUACAUAAUACAUUUCACCAGUGAUUUGGCCACUGCUGAGCCAUCUUCAUUUAAUGUGGUUUUGACAGAAUAGUCGGUCUGGAAAUUUUAUUUUCAAUUAAACUUACUUGUAGAACUGCGUUGGUUUUGAAAAGAUUCCAUUAGGGUGGCUAAUUAUACAGCAGUUGCUACAAGGAGAUAUUCGUACUCCAUUUCGGCUCUUAGGUAAUUCAAAUCGAAUGCUUCAGCUUUUCCUCCCUGGAGCUCUGUGCGACCAUCUUCUCCUCACACUGCAGGCUUCCCAUGAGUUAUUUUUAGAAACCCAAAUCAAAACAGCAGUUUUUGGCAGAGGCCAUUUCUAGCCUAGUAGAGUGAACCAUAUGUACUGAUAAAAGCAGCAUAAGAAUCAGUGCCUUUAAAAAGCAAGAAAACCAUAUCUCUCUGUGUGUGAGGGGGGUUUAAAUGUUUGUAAACUACAAACUAUCCUUUGCACUAUUGUAUUCAUUUGUGAACUUCCACUGAAGUCAAACACAAUGGAUAUUCCUUUAAAAUUACAAAAGUUUUGUCCAUUGCAAUAGUUUAUUGUCAUAAUCAUUUUGUCUCAACAUGGCAGGCCUUGGCAGAAUUGACUGGGAACUCUGUUUUGGAUCUCCUGUGAAAUAUGGUGAUUCCUUUACUUAUUUUCCUACUCUACUAUGUUUUCUUCUUUUAUCUGUGUACUAGUGGCAUGCCUCAUUAUGCUCACCAAGAGGUAAACCUCUCCUCCCCUUGCAUUAGAACAUAAUGCUUGUGAGCAGGGCUAGAUUUUUCACCCUCUUUCAUAAUAGAUGCUCAAAUAGUGCCUGAAUAGAUAGAGAGGAAUCAUUACAAUCCUAUUGCUAUUUUCUCUUUAAAAAUGAACACAUUACCACACUAGAAAAAAUAUUUUUUUUUCC
Molecule: non-coding RNA, 7064 nt
Organism: Microcebus murinus (gray mouse lemur)
Lineage: Eukaryota; Metazoa; Chordata; Mammalia; Primates; Cheirogaleidae
Source: RefSeq, a predicted model, not a curated record